Molecule: transfer RNA, 67 nt
Filed under: Conus spurius
Lineage: Eukaryota; Metazoa; Mollusca; Gastropoda; Neogastropoda; Conidae
Description: tRNA-Pro
Source: RNAcentral
CAGGAUUGUAGUUUAGACAAAACAUUUGCAUUGGAAGCUAAAAAUCAGGUAGAUAUCUGCAUCCUGA